Long non-coding RNA from Agelaius phoeniceus (red-winged blackbird), 969 nucleotides. RefSeq lists it as uncharacterized. Lineage: Eukaryota; Metazoa; Chordata; Aves; Passeriformes; Icteridae. The record is from RefSeq and is a predicted model, not a curated record.
CGCCGCCUCAUGCUGUAACAAACGUGCCGUACCGCAGCCGGGACCUCACGCCUUCCCUGGGUGCCGCCGCCUCGUGCUGUAACAAACGUGCCGUACCGCAGCCCGGACCUCACGCCUUCCCUGGGUGCCGCCGCCUCGUGCUGUAACAAACGUGCCGUACCGCAGCCCGGACCUCACGCCUUCCCUGGGUGCCGCCGCCUCGUGCUGUAACAAACGUGCCGUACCGCAGCCGGGACCUCACGCCUUCCCUGGGUGCCGCCGCCUCGUGCUGUAACAAACGUGCCGUACCGCAGCCGGGACCUCACGCCUUGCCUGGGUGCCGCCGCCUCGUGCUUGUCCUGCCCUUGUGGGGCCACAGUGCCCAGAGUGCAAAUCGCACAGCUGUGGCGGUGCUGCCGCCAGGCAUUCGUAGUCUCCUGUUGCUUCUGUGGCCUGAAUUGCUUCCAGUCAGCAAGAAUUGUUCCCAAACGUCAUCCCCUCUGGAGCUCGGAGGAUAUUACUUGAGAAGCGCUUAUGGAGCACUUUUGCUGCUCAAGAAAUUCCAGGAAAAACAAGCUGCCCAGCUAUCAGUGCACCAGAAAAGCUGACCAGUCUGUCAGCAUCCUGUUACAGGGACCCUUCAUUGAGCAGUCCUGCUGGAUUGGAGGGAAGUCUGACUGACAUUCACGGAAAUAGGCCAAGAACGUAAUGGAGACCCCUCAGCAGGUCUUUCCACUUUAUGACCUCUCAGUAGGACUUCUUAUUUGAAUAUGUUACCUGCUGCUGGCAACUGCUAGCAUCCAUGAAGGAGUCACACUUUGGAAUUUUAUAGAACAGUUUAUGGAACUAUGCUUUUUAUGAAAUUGUGACAGGUUAAGGUUCAGGAAUUGUUGGUGAUGGUAUCUGUCAGUGAUAGUAUUUGACUGCAAAAACUCACUCAAAGCAAUAUACGGAGAAGUUGUAGUCCCCAAUAAAAAUAUUCAGCAGGCA